GGUUGACUUGAGGAAGGUAGGGGAGAAUGGAAUUCCUGGUGGAGCGGUGGAAUGCGCAGAUAUCAGGAGGAACACCAGUGGCGAAGGCGGUUCUCUGGGCCUUUCCUGACGCUGAGGAGCGAAAGCGUGGGGAGCGAACAGGCUUAGAUACCCUGGUAGUCCACGCUGUAAACGGUGGGUACUAGGUGUGGGGUCCAUUCCACGGGUUCCGUGCCGUAGCUAACGCUUUAAGUACCCCGCCUGGGAGUACGCCGCAGUAGUGAACUACAAGGAAGUUGUACGGGGCCCGGCCACAAGCGGUGGGUCGGACGCGGCCGGACGUCGUGGGAGGGCAAGGACGACACAGGGGAGUAG
RNAcentral lists this ribosomal RNA (354 nucleotides) under uncultured bacterium. RNAcentral's name for it is "bacterial SSU rRNA". It matches the Rfam family "Bacterial small subunit ribosomal RNA", at positions 635 to 1238 of the family's 1533-position model. The record is from RNAcentral.